GGAAAAGGGGGGCGGCUAACACAUGCAAGUCGAGCGGAAACGAGUUAACUGAACCUUCGGGGAACGUUAACGGCGUCGAGCGGCGGACGGGUGAGUAAUGCCUGGGAAAUUGCCCUGAUGUGGGGGAUAACCAUUGGAAACGAUGGCUAAUACCGCAUAAUAGCUUCGGCUCAAAGAGGGGGACCUUCGGGCCUCUCGCGUCAGGAUAUGCCCAGGUGGGAUUAGCUAGUUGGUGAGGUAAUGGCUCACCAAGGCGACGAUCCCUAGCUGGUCUGAGAGGAUGAUCAGCCACACUGGAACUGAGACACGGUCCAGACUCCUACGGGAGGCAGCAGUGGGGAAUAUUGCACAAUGGGCGCAAGCCUGAUGCAGCCAUGCCGCGUGUAUGAAGAAGGCCUUCGGGUUGUAAAGUACUUUCAGCAGUGAGGAAGGUGGGUAUGUUAAUAGCAUACACAUUUGACGUUAGCUGCAGAAGAAGCACCGGCUAACUCCGUGCCAGCAGCCGCGGUAAUACGGAGGGUGCGAGCGUUAAUCGGAAUUACUGGGCGUAAAGCGCAUGCAGGUGGUUUGUUAAGUCAGAUGUGAAAGCCCGGGGCUCAACCUCGGAAUUGCAUUUGAAACUGGCAAACUAGAGUACUGUAGAGGGGGGUAGAAUUUCAGGUGUAGCGGUGAAAUGCGUAGAGAUCUGAAGGAAUACCGGUGGCGAAGGCGGCCCCCUGGACAGAUACUGACACUCAGAUGCGAAAGCGUGGGGAGCAAACAGGAUUAGAUACCCUGGUAGUCCACGCCGUAAACGAUGUCUACUUGGAGGUUGUGGCCUUGAGCCGUGGCUUUCGGAGCUAACGCGUUAAGUAGACCGCCUGGGGAGUACGGUCGCAAGAUUAAAACUCAAAUGAAUUGACGGGGGGCCCGCACAAGCGGUGGAAGCAUGUGGGUUUAAUUCCAAUGCAACGCCGAAAAAACCUUACCUUACUCUUGGACAUCUACCAGAAACCAAGCGGAAGACGCAAGGUGGGCCCUCCGGGAACCGGGA
RNAcentral lists this ribosomal RNA (1033 nucleotides) under uncultured bacterium. RNAcentral's name for it is "bacterial SSU rRNA". It matches the Rfam family "Bacterial small subunit ribosomal RNA", at positions 30 to 1032 of the family's 1533-position model. The record is from RNAcentral.